RNA transcript from Panicum virgatum (switchgrass), 4247 nucleotides. RefSeq lists it as uncharacterized. The record is from RefSeq and is a predicted model, not a curated record. The transcript has 18 exons. Lineage: Eukaryota; Viridiplantae; Streptophyta; Magnoliopsida; Poales; Poaceae.
AUGGUGAGGUCAGCGAUUUGCGGCAUCUCCCUCGUCCUCUCCGGUGACCCACUGGUCGUCCCCCCCUGCGCCGCCGCCGCCGCCGCCAAGGCGGAGGAGAUCCGUUACUCCGGCGAGGGGAAGGGCGUGUCGGCUGAUGAGCUCAAGGAGGCUCUGCGGCGGAGAGGCCCUGACAGCCUCGGCUGCGUAAGGCGCCGCCUUUGCUCUGACGGCACGGUUCUAGGGGCUGAUGGAUGCGAUGGUGGAGGAGAGGGUAAAGCCGGCGUGGGUGAUGGUGGUGUUGCUGAUUUGCUCUUCAUUGGAGCAACACUGCAUCUUAGGGGAGCUGAGCUGGUUGUGCAACCACUUGUGUCCCCGUCUGGAAGUAUUCUUGUUUAUAAUGGUGAGAUAUACGGAGGAAUUGAAAUUGCCGAUGAUGAAAAUGACACCCAGGCUCUUUUUUCUUCACUGGAAUCUUGCUGUUCAUGUGACUGCCAUGUGACUAGUAGAGAUAAAACUUGUUCUUGUGCAAGUGGUGGCAAAUCAGUUCCACAAAUCCUUUCCGCAAUCAAAGGUCCUUGGGCUUUGAUAUACUGGCAGAUGGACUCAAAUACGAUUUGGUUUGGCCGGGAUGCAUUUGGAAGGAGAAGCUUAUUGGUACAUUGGCCCACAUCUGAUGACACACGCUUCGUAUUAUCAUCAGUAGCACCCCCUUCAUUUGCAAGAAAUAACUCUGAUGCAACAGUUAAUGGUUUUGUGCCAGGUCCUGACAUCUCUAAAUGUACCAAAGCUAGCUACUGGGACGAGCUUCCUUGUGGGAUAUACAGUAUCCUCAUGAAAAAUAUCAGGAAAAAUGGCACAUGCGCGAAGGAAGGAUGGAUUGUUGAAGUUAACACACAUGAAUGGAUGGAUUCUUCCUUGAAUAAAUUAAUUCAAUGGGAGAGGAAACUGACAGUUCCUGCUAUAGAGAAGAGUUCUAUUGAUGGAGGGAACCAUCACUCGUCGCAGAACUUUGUAAGCUCAGGGGAAUCUGAAGAAAAUAAUAAAAAUGGGGUCAUGAAGAUAGAUCUCCUUUCGAAUUCUAGCUUAGGUUCAGCAAAUUGCAUAACACAGUCAGCAAAUAAAGUAUUGGUUGCAUUACGGGAAUCUGUAAUGCUGCGGACUAAGAUGAACACACUCUUUCAGGGUGGUUUGAAUAAAUUUAGGGACAAAGAGUCAGCCCCAAUAGCGGUCCUCUUUUCCGGUGGCUUAGACUCCAUGAUACUUGCAGCAUUGUUAGACCAGUGCAUUGACCCCAAGUGGACAAUUGAUUUAUUAAAUGUCAGUUUUGAUGGUCAGCUUGCCCCAGAUAGGAUUUCUGCAAUGGCAGGACUGAGGGAGCUUCAGAGGAUCUCUCCACUACGGAGAUGGCAUCUUGUUGAGAUUGACACUGCUUUGACUGACUUGAAAGGGGAAAGUGAACACGUGAUGUCACUCAUACACUCUUCAAAUACUUAUAUGGAUUUAAACAUCGGUAUUGCUCUCUGGUUGGCUGCUGGUGGGGAUGGUUGGGUGGAUGGGAGUGCAUGUCUUAUGCAAGAUGACUCUCGCCAUAAGUACAAGUCAAAAUCAAGAGUCCUAAUCAUUGGUUCUGGUGCUGAUGAGCAGUGUGCCGGUUAUGGUAGACAUUGGACUAAAUACAGGCUUGGAGGGUGGAAUGCACUGAAUGAGGAGAUGAGACUAGAUGUGCAAAGAAUAUGGAAAAGAAACAUGGGAAGAGAUGAUAGAUGCAUUUCUGAUCAUGGCAAGGAGGCCCGUUUCCCAUUUCUUGAUGAGAAUGUGAUAAAAACUUUGUUGGACAUUCCGUUAUGGGAGAUUGCUAAACUUGAUGAACCUGUGGGAAAGGGCGACAAGAAGAUCUUGAGAGAGGUUGCAAGGCUGCUGGGACUACAAGAAGCUGCUCUUCAGCCAAAGCGAGCAAUCCAGUUUGGCUCAAGAAUAGCAAGGGAGUCAAACCGCAAGAACUUUGGGAACAACCGAGCUGCGAACCAGGCAUCAGCAGGCAGUGUGCAGAUUCACCAGCAUAUGAACCCACUACCCCUCUUCGAUUUCCCGCCUAAUCAUACCCCACCACCGCGCGCUCGCGUCGAAUUCGAACCGGCCAUUCGGAGCUCGAAUUUGAAUUCGAGCUCGAAUCACCCGCGCCGGGAGCGAGGGCGAGCUGGGGGAGCUCGAUUCGAUGCGGUGCUGAGCGUGGGUCAACCAAUUUGGGCCGGGCGGUGGCGCGGUCGGCGGGAUCUGAACCCUAGCGGCCGGCCGGAUCUGAGAGACCGCGCCGGCGAGGUGCUCGGCGGUAUGAGUGGUUGGGAAGGGCACAGAGGAGAAGCGGAGAUAUGAGCGGAGGCGGCGGGAGCGGCACCGGGGACGAGUUCGGGCGGGCGGUGGCGCGGGCCGCGGUGGCGCAGGCGCUGGAGGCCGCGGGGUUCGACUGCGCGCACCGCUCCGCGGUGGACGCGGUCGUUGACGUCCUCCUGCGCUACAUCUCCCACCUGGGCCGGUCCGCGGCCUUCAACGCCAACUUCGCCGGCCGCGCGCUCGCCAACGAGCUCGACGUCAUCCAGGCGCUCGAGGAGGUCGGCUCCGACACGGACGGGUUUGCGGGCGCGUCCGCCACGGGGCACUGCCUCGUCGGCUCCGGCGUCGUCAGGGACCUCAUGGCGUUCGUCGACACCAAGGACGAGGUGCCGUUCGUGCGGCCGCUGCCCAGGUUCCCUGUGCCGCGCGUGCAGCCGCAGCCCUCUGCCAGCUUCGCGGUGGCCGGGAGGGAAACCGGGAUGAAGCACGUGCCUGAGUGGCUCCCGGUUUUCCCUGAUCCGCACACCUAUGUGAGGACAGAGGCGUGGGUUGAGCCGCCGGCAACCAAGGACCGGGUGGACAAGGUGGAACAGGUGCGGCAACGGAGGAAGGCUGAGAAGUCCCUGCUCAGCUUGCAGCAAAGGCUAGCACAGGCUGGUGCUGAAGGAUUUCAUCCAGCAGUUGGGCUCACACAGGAUAGCACGGAGAAGGGCAAGGAGAUACUGGCAGCUGGGACCAAGAGAAAUCCAUUUCUUGAGCCAGCAUUGCCGCCUGGAGAGAAGGAUAUAUCCGAGGUUGAUAUGCCUCCUGAAAAGAAGAAACUCUCUGUCCUUGAGGCAUUUGCACCAGCUAUUCAAGCUACAGCCAUCAGGGAGAUUGAUGCUGGGACAGGGUUAGAUCAAAACCAAAGGAGCAUCGUUCCAAAAGAGAGGGCGCCAGUACACCUCAAGAUUGGAUUUGGUAAGAAGCCUGUAGCAGCUGUCCCGAAUUCAGGAGCCCUGGAUCUGAGGGAUGAUCCUUCCUUCUUGAAGGAGGAAGCGAAGGAUGACAAGAAGCGGAGAGCAGGGAUGAUAUUAAGAGCAUCAAUGGAGAACCCACAGGAACUUCCUCAACUCUGAAGUGAUUUAUGGAUGAACUGCGGUGACAGAAUGGAAUCGCAUCACAGUGCGAUUGAGUUUAUUGGAGCUAUGGAUAUUUCAGAUUGAUGGUGGAACUUCAAUUUCCAGAAUCUUGAGGCCAUGCGUCGGUGAUACGACUUUCCUUGUAUCUUAAUGACAUCAGAAGCAUUCUUAGAACAUUGCUAACAGCACCCAGGCUCUCCCUUCCCCACCUACCAUUUUCCUGGAAUCACAAGGCACUGGUUAUUCUGCAGCGCUGCAACUGAAGUUCCACCGUUUCACCCCCAUUCAACUUAGGUUCUGCUGGUAUUUCACCGCUAAGGCGUUAACUGUAAGUGAGCCACUUCAUACGGAGCUGAUUUUGGAGGCCGUGUUUCCUCUCCCCAGACAUGGCGUCCAAAAUAAUGAUGCUCCCGAGUUACUUUUUGUAGCUGUAUUCCCUGGUAGAAUUGAAAAGAGAUGUUUGUACAAAAGCUAACCUGAUUCUCCUGACCUAGACUCCAAGACUUGUCUCGGUCAGGAUUGAUGUACCUAGUGGGUUACUCCCAAGAGCCAGCUUCUUUAUGUUACAUGUUGGCCUAAUAGCUCCGGCCUGAAGUUUGGUCGCCGGCCUGCGAUCUGGGCGCUUUCAAAACACCUGAUGGGACUCAUUUCAUGAUGAUUUGAUUGAUUCAAAGAAGAUUUGACCUAUGUGAGUCCAUAUCCUCUGCGGACUAAUGUAGUGCUUUGCAGUUGGGAGACUUAAGCGUUUGAUUGCCCUUUUCUGGGACUGUAAUAACUGUGUCCAUAUUGAUUCUUUCGGCUCCUUUCCCUCUA